This 465-nucleotide ribosomal RNA is filed under the name uncultured bacterium. Its description in RNAcentral is "partial 16S ribosomal RNA". It matches the Rfam family "Bacterial small subunit ribosomal RNA", at positions 28 to 507 of the family's 1533-position model. The record is from RNAcentral.
GACGAACGCUGGCGGCGUGCUUAACACAUGCAAGUCGUACGGUAAGGCCCUUUCGGGGGUACACGAGUGGCGAACGGGUGAGUAACACGUGAGUAACCUGCCCACAACUUUGGGAUAACGCUAGGAAACUGGUGCUAAUACUGGAUAUGUGCCCCUGCUGCAUGGUGGGGGUUGGAAAGCUCCGGCGGUUGUGGAUGGACUCGCGGCCUAUCAGCUUGUUGGUGGGGUAGUGGCCUACCAAGGCGGCGACGGGUAGCCGGCCUGAGAGGGUGACCGGCCACAUUGGGACUGAGAUACGGCCCAGACUCCUGCGGGAGGCAGCAGUGGGGAAUAUUGCACAAUGGGCGCAAGCCUGAUGCAGCAACGCCGCGUGCGGGAUGACGGCCUUCGGGUUGUAAACCGCUUUCAGCAGGGACGAAGCUUUUUGUGACGGUACCUGCAGAAGAAGCACCGGCUAACUACGUG